RNAcentral lists this ribosomal RNA (440 nucleotides) under uncultured bacterium. RNAcentral describes it as "partial 16S ribosomal RNA". It matches the Rfam family "Bacterial small subunit ribosomal RNA", at positions 338 to 795 of the family's 1533-position model. The record is from RNAcentral.
CCUACGGGAGGCAGCAGUAGGGAAUGUUGCGCAAUGGGCGAAAGCCGGACGCAGCAACGCCGGGUGAGGGAGACGUACUUCGGGGUGUAAAGAUCUGUCAGUGGGGACGAAACUUGACGGUACCCACAGAGGAAGCACCGGCUAACUCAGUGCCAGCAGCCGCGGGAAUACGGGGGGGGCAAGCGUUAUCCGGAAUCAUUGGGCGUAAAGAGUGCGUAGGCGGCACGUAAAGUCUGGUGUUAAAGGCAGAGGCUCAACUGCUGUACGGCACUGGAUACUUGCGAGCUAGAGUGCGGUAGAGGUAAGGGGAAUUCCUGGUGUAGCGGUGAAAUGCUUAGAUAUCAGGAGGAACAUCAGUGGCGUAGGCGCUUUACUGGACCGUAAUUGACGCUGAGGAACGAAAGCCAGGGUAGCAAAUAGGAUUAGAUACCCGUGUAGUC